GCUGGGUGUGGUAGCGGGCACCUGUAAUCCCAGCUACUCAGGAGGCUGAGGCAGAAGAAUUGCUUGAGCCCAGGAGGCGGAGGUUGUAGUGAGCCAAGAUGGCACCACUGCACUCCAGCCUGGGCGACAGAGUGAGACCCUGUCUUAA
Molecule: non-coding RNA, 148 nt
Filed under: Homo sapiens (human)
Lineage: Eukaryota; Metazoa; Chordata; Mammalia; Primates; Hominidae
Source: Rfam by way of RNAcentral